AGUGAACGCUGGCGGUAGGCCUAACACAUGCAAGUCGAACGGCAGCUUAGUAAGUGCUUGCUCUUACGGGUGGCGAGCGGCGGACGGGUGAGGAAUAUAUCGGAAUCUACUUUUUCGUGGGGGAUAAUGUAGGGAAACUUACGCUAAUACAGCAUAUGACCUACGGGUGAAAGCAGGGGAUCUUCGGACCUUGUGCGAUUGAAUGAGCCGACGUCGGCUUAGAUAGUUGGCGGGGUAGAGGCACACCAAGGCGACGAUCCUUAGCUGGUAUGAGAGGGUGAUCAGCCACACUGGAAGUGAGACACGGUCCAGACUCCUACAGUAGGCAGCAGUCGGGAAUAUUAGGCAAGGGGGGCAAGCCGGAUCCAGCCAUACCGCCUGAAGGAAGAAGACCUUCUGGUUGUAAAGCCCUGUUGUUGUGAGAGAAAUGCAGCAGUUUAAUACCCCGCUUUACUGACGGUACCCAAAGAAUAAGCACCGGCUAACUUCGUG
Molecule: ribosomal RNA, 492 nt
Filed under: uncultured bacterium
Lineage: Bacteria
Description: partial 16S ribosomal RNA
Rfam family: Bacterial small subunit ribosomal RNA
Source: RNAcentral